AAAUAAACCGCCGCGCAAGCGGUAAGGAUGGAAAGGCGAGGUAAGAGCUCACCGAUCCUGCGGUGACGUGGGAUGCCAUGUAAACCCUAUCCGAAGCAACGCCUUUGGGCGGCACACCUCGGUGUGCCUGCGGUUCCCCGCCAAAGUCCCGAUGGCGGCAGGAGGAAACUCCGAGCCUUGCGGUAACGCAGGGCAAAGAUAGAUGGUCGCGACCCGGAAACGGGUACAGAACCCGGCUUACAAGCACAGUUGUAAG
RNAcentral lists this RNase P RNA (256 nucleotides) under Clostridia bacterium. Its description in RNAcentral is "partial RNase P RNA component class A". It matches the Rfam family "Bacterial RNase P class A", at positions 119 to 367 of the family's 367-position model. Rfam says of the family: Ribonuclease P (RNase P) is a ubiquitous endoribonuclease, found in archaea, bacteria and eukarya as well as chloroplasts and mitochondria. Its best characterised activity is the generation of mature 5'-ends of tRNAs by cleaving the 5'-leader elements of precursor-tRNAs. Cellular RNase Ps are ribonucleoproteins. The record is from RNAcentral. Lineage: Bacteria; Bacillati; Bacillota; Clostridia.